Long non-coding RNA from Carcharodon carcharias (great white shark), 1851 nucleotides. RefSeq lists it as uncharacterized. The record is from RefSeq and is a predicted model, not a curated record. NCBI's taxonomy places the organism in Eukaryota, Metazoa, Chordata, Chondrichthyes, Lamniformes, Lamnidae. The transcript is spliced from 5 exons.
UGCACACUUCCUCCUUGGGGGAGACUUUGGUGUCUGGCAUCAGUUGGUCACUAUUUCUGCUGGUUAGUCAUUGUCAACAACAGCAAUUAUAUAAUCCUGGAGAACUUUCAACUUCUGUUCACACCGCCUUCUGAACCAACAUAGCCAAGAUGAGGAUUCUGGAGCAGGAGAUGAAAUUGUGGUGAGAUUCUUUGAAGGAGUUGCUGAGGUGCUAAUGUGAGGCAGCUGAACGCUCAGACAAUUGAAGCCAAAGCAGAUCCCCAUCCUGGGUUUAUGAUUAAUCAAUCUCCUGUUCAUGUGAACUACAAGGAAAUACACAGAAGUCACAACUUGGACAAAAGUCUUGGACUCAACCAACCUGGAUCUUAUCUCUUGUAUCCUAAUACAUCUCUGCUGCAUCUGUUCCAUAUCCUUAUCAUCUGGAAGAAAGGUAUCCAAAGUUAGCUCUGGAACAACAAGGACAUUGUCUGAGAAUGAGGACGAGACACACUCCUUUGGCAAAAUAUAAGCUGCUCUACACUUUUUCCAGGAUUUCAGCAAAUCGCAUCAAAUCAAUCUCUGCUGUUCUUCUACAGUUACACUCAACUGAGCGUGCUCAGAAGAUCUUUCUCUUUUUCUAUAUCCAUCUACAACUGGCUUCUACGGGAGUAUGGCUCCAUACACAGGAUUGUUUGAAUGAUUUUGUCCUCUUUUGAGUUUAAAAAAUAUUUCUGCAAUAAGAAUAAUUUUGGGGAACUGCCUGGAUACAGGCCCUGAGCCAAUUGUGUUUGAUGGCAAAAGAACCUUGAUGCACUGAUCUGUUUUCAGGGAGUUUAGCAGAGCACAAGAAGGGGUCAUUGCUUGGACAUCAAAUCACAGAUCCAUGAACAAAUACACUUACAUCACUUCUACGCAAACAAAGUAUGCUACACGAUUCUUAUCUGAGUGAAGCUGACAGUGUUAGAAUUGUGCAUCUGCAGCUUAGUAUUUCAAGUUCCUUUCAUCCAAGCUUUUGUUCAGUUUGGGUCCUGGAGGCAAAAUUGUUGGUCCCUAGCCAAGGUGUGGAGAGAGAUUUAGCAAUGUAGAAUAUUGGCUCAGAAGCUAGAUUCUCACAAUCUAAGUUAAAGCGAGUACUAGUGAUAAAAAAGUGUGAGAGGGCAUCACAUGCACUUAUGUCAGUAUGAUCACUUGACACGUCAAGUUUUAUUGUUCACUCAAUCAUGAAAAUUCACACAGAAAAAUAGAGAGGCAUUUACACUGCAUAUAGUACAGAUACAUUUGUUGAUGUAACAGAAUUAAGGGAGCAUAGGGAAAUGAUAGCGUAGCUUUUGGACAACAAAGAUAUAAAAAAAUGACAAUGUUUUAAAACUGCACCAGGAAAAGCUGAACAAUAGAUGGGUCAGUGCCUGAAACAAAAAGACAGAUCAUCAUUGUUGUGAGGCAGAUGAAAUGGUCUGACAAAUGGCUUCACCUGAAAUUUAAAGCUGUUUUUGCUUUCAGACUGACUGGCUGGGCCAUCUCCACCAUUUUCUGUGAAUUAUGUUAUUCUGUAUUUCCUAUUAUUCAAUGGCUCAAUAUUAUACCCUCUACAUCACCAGCUUUGUAUCUUGGGAAGUCACCUAAAUACAUAGCUUUUGAGAUGGAUCAUGUGUACAUGGCUAGCAUACUACAGGCUGAUUCUGUGACCUGUGCUCCAUUUCUUGGGAGGCUCCAUACAGAGCCUUGUAGAACAUGAUGAUUAACUUCUUGUUUCAAUUAAUUUGCAUAAAUCUUAAAUUGUUGGUAGUAAUAUGCACUCAUUAAAGAUUUAUUCAACAGUACUGAGAACAAUCAUUCACAAGCCUGCAGGCCAAUAAAAUUUAACCAGGACAA